AUGGCAGGAACUUACCAGAGAUGGUUUGGUGCUCGAAAGAGAACCUGCACACAGGUGCUGCAUGGCUGUCGUCAGCUCGUGUCGUGAGAUGUUGGGUUAAGUCCCGCAACGAGCGCAACCCUUGCCAUUAGUUGCUACGAAAGGGCACUCUAAUGGGACUGCCGGUGACAAACCGGAGGAAGGUGGGGAUGACGUCAAGUCCUCAUGGCCCUUAUAGGUGGGGCUACACACGUCAUACAAUGGCUGGUACAAAGGGUCGCCAACCCGCGAGGGGGAGCCAAUCCCAUAAAGCCAGUCGUAGUCCGGAUCGCAGUCUGCAACUCGACUGCGUGAAGUCGGAAUCGCUAGUAAUCGUGGAUCAGAAUGUCACGGUGAAUACGUUCCCGGGUCUUGUACACACCGCCCGUCACACCAUGGGAGCGGGUCUCGCCAGAAGUAGGUAGCCUAACCGCAAGGAGGGCGCUUACCACGGCGGGGUUCGUGACUGGGGUGAAGUCGUAACAAGGUAAGCGUAGUGCU
RNAcentral lists this ribosomal RNA (519 nucleotides) under uncultured bacterium. RNAcentral's name for it is "bacterial SSU rRNA". It matches the Rfam family "Bacterial small subunit ribosomal RNA", at positions 986 to 1509 of the family's 1533-position model. The record is from RNAcentral.